Small nuclear RNA from Pan troglodytes (chimpanzee), 162 nucleotides. Its record names the gene U1. It matches the Rfam family "U1 spliceosomal RNA". From Rfam's summary of the family: U1 is a small nuclear RNA (snRNA) component of the spliceosome (involved in pre-mRNA splicing). Its 5' end forms complementary base pairs with the 5' splice junction, thus defining the 5' donor site of an intron. There are significant differences in sequence and secondary structure between metazoan and yeast U1 snRNAs, the latter being much longer (568 nucleotides as compared to 164 nucleotides in human). The record is from Ensembl. Lineage: Eukaryota; Metazoa; Chordata; Mammalia; Primates; Hominidae.
AUACUUAUCUGGCAGGGGAGAUACCAUAUUCAUGAAGUUGGUUUCCAAGGGCCAGGCUUAUCCGUUGCACUCUGGAUGGGCUGACCCCUGUGAUUUGCCCGCACAUGGGAAACUUGACUGCAUAAUUUGUGCAGUGAGGGACUGCGUUCAUGCUUUCCCCGG